UACGUAGGGAGCAAGCGUUGUCCGGAAUCAUUGGGCGUAAAGCGCGCGUAGGCGGCCUCGUAAGUCCGUUGUGAAAGUCAAAGGCUCAACCUUUGAAAGCCGAUGGAUACUGUGAGGCUAGAGUCCGGAAGAGGCGAGUGGAAUUCCUGGUGUAGCGGUGGAAUGCGCAGAUAUCAGGAGGAACACCAAUAGCGAAGGCAGCUCGCUGGGACGGUACUGACGCUAAGGCGCGAAAGCGUGGGGGAGCGAACAGG
Molecule: ribosomal RNA, 254 nt
Filed under: uncultured bacterium
Lineage: Bacteria
Description: partial 16S ribosomal RNA
Rfam family: Bacterial small subunit ribosomal RNA
Source: RNAcentral